Molecule: ribosomal RNA, 468 nt
Filed under: uncultured bacterium
Lineage: Bacteria
Description: partial 16S ribosomal RNA
Rfam family: Bacterial small subunit ribosomal RNA
Source: RNAcentral
GACGAACGCUGGCGGCGUGCUUAACACAUGCAAGUCGAACGGAAAGGCCCUGCUUUUGUGGGGUGCUCGAGUGGCGAACGGGUGAGUAACACGUGAGUAACCUGCCCUUGGCUUUGGGAUAACUUCAGGAAACUGGGGCUAAUACCGGAUAGGAGCUCCUGCUGCAUGGUGGGGGUUGGAAAGUUUCGGCGGUUGGGGAUGGACUCGCGGCUUAUCAGCUUGUUGGUGGGGUAGUGGCUUACCAAGGCUUUGACGGGUAGCCGGCCUGAGAGGGUGACCGGCCACAUUGGGACUGAGAUACGGCCCAGACUCUUACGGGAGGCAGCAGUGGGGAAUAUUGCACAAUGGGCGGAAGCCUGAUGCAGCAACGCCGCGUGCGGGAUGACGGCCUUCGGGUUGUAAACCGCUUUCGCCUGUGACGAAGCGUGAGUGACGGUAAUGGGUAAAGAAGCACCGGCUAACUACGUG